Patagioenas fasciata monilis is the source of this 132-nucleotide small nucleolar RNA. It matches the Rfam family "Small nucleolar RNA SNORA69". From Rfam's summary of the family: U69 is a member of the H/ACA class of small nucleolar RNAs (snoRNAs) which act as guides in the the modification of uridines to pseudouridines. Lineage: Eukaryota; Metazoa; Chordata; Aves; Columbiformes; Columbidae. The record is from Rfam.
AAAGCAGGCUGCAAUUACAGUGCUUCAUUCCGUGGGAGUACUGCCAUUUUCCUGCUGAGAGUGACUCUGUUAACACCGUGUUCGGUUUCACCUAUGCAGUGGUGAAAUUGCUGGUUCUUAACAUGUACAAGU